Molecule: ribosomal RNA, 126 nt
Filed under: uncultured bacterium
Lineage: Bacteria
Description: partial 16S ribosomal RNA
Rfam family: Bacterial small subunit ribosomal RNA
Source: RNAcentral
CUGACGGAGCAAGACCGCGUGAGGGAGGAAGGCUCUUGGGUUGUAAACCUCUUUUCUCUGGGAAGAACAAAAUGACGGUACCAGAGGAAUCAGCAUCGGCUAACUCCGUGCCAGCAGCCGCGGUAA